GUGCCCUGUCACAUGAUAACAAAGAUCCUUCAUUUGAUUCUCUAUCUUGGCUUCCCUCUGGGAGAAUUCAACAAGCAAUGCAUUGUGAGAAUACUCAAGCAGCCUGGGGAGAGACCCUUAUGGAGAAGAACUGAAACGUUUUGUCAGUAAUUAACAUCAACUUGCCAGCCAUGACACUUUAGUGAGUUUAAUAUGGAUUGCUGAUCAUUAUGCUUGGAUGGGAGCACCAGAAUUUGAAUAAUAGAGGAAGAAGAAGAAGAAG
Chinchilla lanigera (long-tailed chinchilla) is the source of this 262-nucleotide long non-coding RNA. RefSeq lists it as uncharacterized. The transcript is spliced from 3 exons. Lineage: Eukaryota; Metazoa; Chordata; Mammalia; Rodentia; Chinchillidae. The record is from RefSeq and is a predicted model, not a curated record.